UACAGAGGUCUCAAGCGUUGUUCGGAUUCAUUGGGCGUAAAGGGCGCGUAGGCUGCGGGGCAAGUCGGGUGUGAAAUCUCAGAGCUCAACUCUGAAACUGCACUCGAUACUGCUUUGCUCGAGGACUGGAGAGGAGACUGGAAUUUACGGUGUAGCGGUGAAAUGCGUAGAUAUCGUAAGGAAGACCAGUGGCGAAGGCGGGUCUCUGGACAGUUCCUGACGCUGAGGCACGAAGGUCAGGGGAGCAAACGGG
This 253-nucleotide ribosomal RNA is filed under the name uncultured bacterium. RNAcentral's name for it is "partial 16S ribosomal RNA". It matches the Rfam family "Bacterial small subunit ribosomal RNA", at positions 524 to 776 of the family's 1533-position model. The record is from RNAcentral.